UACGAAGGAGGCGAGCGUUGUCCGGAUUUAUUGGGUUUAAUGGGUGCGUAGACGGCUUAUUAAGUCAGUGGUGAAAUAUCGCAGCUUAACUGUGAGGGUGCCAAUGAUACUGAUGAGCUUGAGUGAAGUCGAGGUAGGCGGAAUUGACGGUGUAGCGGUGAAAUGCUUAGAUAUCGUCAAGAACACCAAUAGUGAAGACAGCUUACUAGGCUUGAACUGACGCUGAGGCACGAAAGUGUGGGGAUCAAACAGG
This 253-nucleotide ribosomal RNA is filed under the name uncultured bacterium. Its description in RNAcentral is "partial 16S ribosomal RNA". It matches the Rfam family "Bacterial small subunit ribosomal RNA", at positions 524 to 776 of the family's 1533-position model. The record is from RNAcentral.